GGAUAAGUGUCCGAGUGGUUAAAGGAGACGGACUGUAAAUCCGUUGGCUCUGCCUACGUUGGUUCAAAUCCAACCUUAUCCACC
This 84-nucleotide transfer RNA is filed under the name Synechococcus phage S-BM3. RNAcentral describes it as "tRNA-Tyr". It matches the Rfam family "tRNA". From Rfam's summary of the family: Transfer RNA (tRNA) molecules are approximately 80 nucleotides in length. Their secondary structure includes four short double-helical elements and three loops (D, anti-codon, and T loops). Lineage: Duplodnaviria; Heunggongvirae; Uroviricota; Caudoviricetes; Pantevenvirales; Kyanoviridae. The record is from RNAcentral.